UACGGGAGGCAGCAGUGGGGAAUAUUGCACAAUGGGCGCAAGCCUGAUGCAGCCAUGCCGCGUGUAUGAAGAAGGCCUUCGGGUUGUAAAGUACUUUCAGCAGUGAGGAAGGUGGGUAUGUUAAUAGCAUACUCAUUUGACGUUAGCUGCAGAAGAAGCACCGGCUAACUCCGUGCCAGCAGCCGCGGUAAUACGGAGGGUGCGAGCGUUAAUCGGAAUUACUGGGCGUAAAGCGCAUGCAGGUGGUUUGUUAAGUCAGAUGUGAAAGCCCGGGGCUCAACCUCGGAAUUGCAUUUGAAACUGGCAAACUAGAGUACUGUAGAGGGGGUAGAAUUUCAGGUGUAGCGGUGAAAUGCGUAGAGAUCUGAAGGAAUACCGGUGGCGAAGGCGGCCCCCUGGACAGAUACUGACACUCAGAUGCGAAAGCGUGGGGAGCAAACAGGAUUAGAUACCCCUGAUAG
This 461-nucleotide ribosomal RNA is filed under the name uncultured bacterium. Its description in RNAcentral is "bacterial SSU rRNA". It matches the Rfam family "Bacterial small subunit ribosomal RNA", at positions 340 to 793 of the family's 1533-position model. The record is from RNAcentral.